This 449-nucleotide ribosomal RNA is filed under the name uncultured bacterium. RNAcentral describes it as "bacterial SSU rRNA". It matches the Rfam family "Bacterial small subunit ribosomal RNA", at positions 29 to 523 of the family's 1533-position model. The record is from RNAcentral.
AACGAACGCUGGCGGCAUGCCUAACACAUGCAAGUCGAACGAGACCUUCGGGUCUAGUGGCGCACGGGUGCGUAACGCGUGGGAAUCUACCCUUGGGUUCGGAAUAACUCAGAGAAAUUUGAGCUAAUACCGGAUGAUGUCGCAAGACCAAAGAUUUAUCGCCCAAGGAUGAGCCCGCGUAGGAUUAGCUUGUUGGUGAGGUAAAAGCUCACCAAGGCGACGAUCCUUAGCUGGUCUGAGAGGAUGAUCAGCUACACUGGGACUGAGACACGGCCCAGACUCCUACGGGAGGCAGCAGUGGGGAAUAUUGGACAAUGGGCGGAAAGCCUGAUCCAGCAAUGCCGCGUGAGUGAUGAAGGCCUUAGGGUUGUAAAGCUCUUUUACCCGGGAUGAUAAUGACAGUACCGGGAGAAUAAGCCCGGCUAACUCCGUGCCAGCAGCCGGCGUAA